Molecule: microRNA, 23 nt
Filed under: Daphnia pulex (common water flea)
Lineage: Eukaryota; Metazoa; Arthropoda; Branchiopoda; Diplostraca; Daphniidae
Description: Dpu-Mir-282_3p* (star (passenger))
Source: RNAcentral
ACAACGUCUCGGAGAGCGCUUCG